GACGAACGCUGGCGGCGUGCCUAAUACAUGCAAGUUGAGCGCUGAAGGUUGGUACUUGUACCAACUGGAUGAGCAGCGAACGGGUGAGUAACGCGUGGGGAAUCUGCCUUUGAGCGGGGGACAACAUUUGGAAGCGAAUGCUAAUACCGCAUAAAAACUUUAAACACAAGUUUUAAGUUUGAAAGAUGCAAUUGCAUCACUCAAAGAUGAUCCCGCGUUGUAUUAGCUAGUUGGUGAGGUAAAGGCUCACCAAGGCGAUGAUACAUAGCCGACCUGAGAGGAUGAUCAGCCACAUUGGGACUGAGACACGGCCCAAACUCCUACGGGAGGCAGCAGUAGGGAAUCUUCGGCAAUGGACGAAAGUCUGACCGAGCAAAGCCGCGUGAGUGAAGAAGGUUUUCGGAUCGUAAAACUCGGUUGGUAGAGAAGAACGUUGGUGAGAGUGGAAAGCUCAUCAAGUGACGGUAACUACCCAGAAAGCGACGGCUAACUCCGUG
Molecule: ribosomal RNA, 497 nt
Filed under: uncultured bacterium
Lineage: Bacteria
Description: partial 16S ribosomal RNA
Rfam family: Bacterial small subunit ribosomal RNA
Source: RNAcentral